UCCAAGCAGAGGGAUCCCAGCUGCCCCACCUUCAAAGCCUCUCCCUCGGUCUCCGCCUCCCGUGCAGAGCAGCUCUCCUGGACAGGGACAGCAGAUGGGACAUCUGGCAAGCAAAGGGAACACUGACACUACAUCAGGAGGGAUUGCAGCCGCUGAUGUUCCCAGGCUCUCCCUCGGUCUCUCCCUCCCGUGCAGAGCAGCUCUCCCGGACAGGGACAGCAGAUGGGACAUCUAGCAAGCAAAGGAAAACACUGACUCUUCAAGGCCUAAGGGAAGAUGAGAGCCUGUCCUGCACCAGCAGACUGAUUCAGCUGGCCUUUGAAAGAAGAUCUGCAAAACUUUGUUCGUCUGCUAGAUCUGAUGUUCUGGUAUCCUUCAGGGAUUUCCAGUUCCCAUUGAAGAUGGGAGCACCUGCAGAAAAGGACGGGGCAGCUGGGGCUCCAAGCACAGCUCUUGCUGCUCAGAGCUGAGCCUGUGGGAAGCUCCAGGAGCUCCUGCCAUCUCUCUCCCUGUUGGCAGCUCCCUCUCAGCAGUCCCCAGGCCCUGCCCAUCCCCUUUUUUGCCUCCCAGCUCACCCUUUCCCUUCGCUUUCCCUUAAUAAAAACUUAGCCUUUUUCACUUUA
This is a long non-coding RNA of Haemorhous mexicanus (house finch), 623 nucleotides long. RefSeq lists it as uncharacterized. The record is from RefSeq and is a predicted model, not a curated record. The transcript is spliced from 3 exons. NCBI's taxonomy places the organism in Eukaryota, Metazoa, Chordata, Aves, Passeriformes, Fringillidae.